AACACUUGUAAAAUUUCUUUACAAAAAUCAUAUUACCAAUCUCUUCCUUUGCAUCUUGCUUAUAUGCCAAAGCAGUGAAUAUAGACUGCUUAUUCUUCCAUAAUCCCAACAUUUCAGCUUCCACCUUGUUCCAAAUUUUAGCACAUCUUACUGAAGUACUAAGCUCAUAAUCACCAAUUCAUUUCAAACCAUAUAACUCAUACUCAGCAUCCCAUGUAAUAUUAGUCAUCUCAUAAAACAAUAUCUUUGUAGAAACACAUAAUGGGUACCCAGCAGAUAUGCCAAUACAGAAAUCACAUUUAUGGGCACACAACUACACACUCUGUCUCCCUCCUAGGAAACACGGGUAAACACAAUAUAAAAGCAAUCUUAAACUAACACCUCCAAAUCUCCAACUAUUCUUGGCCAAAACGCUAGUAUUCAACAACUAAUAAAACAGUUAUUUGCUAGGUUAUUUGGCUGUCAUUCUUAUCAGUAUCACUAGACUGUGACAAACUGAUUCACAUAUAAUUUAAAACAAUACAGCAACAUAUAAAUUAAACCACUUUCAAGUUUAACUGCACACUUAUCACACAUUAUCACAAUCACCAUUUACACAGAAUAAACAGUUAACAGCUGUAUUCAGAACAUAUUAUUGGAAGGUAUACCAAUUUUAGUUUAGAUUUAUUUUAGGGAUUCUUAUGUGUACAUUUUCUUAAUUAACUUCAUUACUUUAAUCUACUAUAGUAUUAUAUUUAAAGAAAGGAUCCAUUUAUAUAGCGCGCUCAUAACUCAACUAUUUGUAUAAAACUACCAUUAACUAAUCUGAGAUGAUGCUGCAUCAACUUAAAUCCUAUAGAAAUUGAACAAACAUCUGGACCAGAUUAAACAGACAUGGUUUCACCUGAAUCUUUCAGAACUCUCAGAGACUUAAAAAAUUUAUACUAUACCAUGUUUUAAAGGCAUGGCAAACCUUUAGACCGGUCAGUCUCCAAGAGUCCUUUGUAAU
This is a non-coding RNA of Pelobates cultripes (western spadefoot toad), 988 nucleotides long. NCBI's taxonomy places the organism in Eukaryota, Metazoa, Chordata, Amphibia, Anura, Pelobatidae. The record is from the annotation of a GenBank genome assembly.